This 166-nucleotide ribosomal RNA is filed under the name uncultured bacterium. RNAcentral's name for it is "partial 16S rRNA". It matches the Rfam family "Bacterial small subunit ribosomal RNA", at positions 355 to 511 of the family's 1533-position model. The record is from RNAcentral.
UAGGGAAUCUUCGGCAAUGGGGGGCAACCCUGACCGAGCAACGCCGCGUGAGUGAAGAAGGUUUUCGGAUCGUAAAGCUCUGUUGUAAGAGGAGAACGUGUGUGAGAGUGGAAAGUUCACACAGUGACGGUAACUUACCAGAAAGGGACGGCUAACUACGUGCUAG